UACAGAGGUCUCGAGCGUUAGGCGGAAUCACUGGGCUUAAAGCGUGUGUAGGCGGAUCGGUAAGUACCUUGUGAAAUCCCACAGCUUAACUGUGGAACUGCUUGGUAUACUGCCAGUCUUGAGCCACUUAGGGGCUACCGGAACAAAUGGUGGAGCGGUGAAAUGCGUAGAUAUCAUUUGGAACGCCAAUGGUGAAAACAGGUAGCUGGGAGUGUGCUGACGCUGAGACACGAAAGCCAGGGAGCAAACGGG
This 252-nucleotide ribosomal RNA is filed under the name uncultured bacterium. RNAcentral describes it as "partial 16S ribosomal RNA". It matches the Rfam family "Bacterial small subunit ribosomal RNA", at positions 524 to 776 of the family's 1533-position model. The record is from RNAcentral.